UGGGGAAUUUUGGACAAUGGGCGAAANCCUGAUCCAGCAAUGCCGCGUGUGUGAAGAAGGCCUUCGGGUUGUAAAGCACUUUUGUCCGGAAAGAAAUCCUUGGCUCUAAUACAGUCGGGGGAUGACGGUACCGGAAGAAUAAGCACCGGCUAACUACGUGCCAGCAGCCGCGGUAAUACGUAGGGUGCAAGCGUUAAUCGGAAUUACUGGGCGUAAAGCGUGCGCAGGCGGUUUGCUAAGACCGAUGUGAAAUCCCCGGGCUCAACCUGGGAACUGCAUUGGUGACUGGCAGGCUAGAGUAUGGCAGAGGGGGGUUAGAAUUCCACGUGUAGCAGUGAAAUGCGUAGAGAUGUGGAGGAAUACCGAUGGCGAAGGCAGCCCCCUUGGGCCAAUACUGACGCUCAUGCACGAAAGCGU
This 417-nucleotide ribosomal RNA is filed under the name uncultured bacterium. Its description in RNAcentral is "partial 16S ribosomal RNA". It matches the Rfam family "Bacterial small subunit ribosomal RNA", at positions 355 to 762 of the family's 1533-position model. The record is from RNAcentral.